CAUAGGUUAAUGAGGCGAACCGGGGGAACUGAAACAUCUAAGUACCCCGAGGAAAAGAAAUCAACCGAGAUUCCCCCAGUAGCGGCGAGCGAACGGGGAGGAGCCCAGAGCCUGAAUCAGUGUGUGUGUUAGUGGAAGCGUCUGGAAAGGCGCGCGAUACAGGGUGACAGCCCCGUACACAAAAAUGCACAUAUUGUGAGCUCGAUGAGUAGGGCGGGACACGUGGUAUCCUGUCUGAAUAUGGGGGGACCAUCCUCCAAGGCUAAAUACUCCUGACUGACCGAUAGUGAACCAGUACCGUGAGGGAAAGGCGAAAAGAACCCCGGCGAGGGGAGUGAAAAAGAACCUGAAACCGUGUACGUACAAGCAGUGGGAGCCUCUUUAUGGGGUGACUGCGUACCUUUUGUAUAAUGGGUCAGCGACUUAUAUUCUGUAGCAAGGUUAACCGAAUAGGGGAGCCGAAGGGAAACCGAGUCUUAACUGGGCGUUAAGUUGCAGGGUAUAGACCCGAAACCCGGUGAUCUAGCCAUGGGCAGGUUGAAGGUUGGGUAACACUAACUGGAGGACCGAACCGACUAAUGUUGAAAAAUUAGCGGAUGACUUGUGGCUGGGGGUGAAAGGCCAAUCAAACCGGGAGAUAGCUGGUUCUCCCCGAAAGCUAUUUAGGUAGCGCCUCGUGAAUUCAUCUCCGGGGGUAGAGCACUGUUUCGGCAAGGGGGUCAUCCCGACUUACCAACCCGAUGCAAACUGCGAAUACCGGAGAAUGUUAUCACGGGAGACACACGGCGGGUGCUAACGUCCGUCGUGAAGAGGGAAACAACCCAGACCGCCAGCUAAGGUCCCAAAGUCAUGGUUAAGUGGGAAACGAUGUGGGAAGGCCCAGACAGCCAGGAUGUUGGCUUAGAAGCAGCCAUCAUUUAAAGAAAGCGUAAUAGCUCACUGGUCGAGUCGGCCUGCGCGGAAGAUGUAACGGGGCUAAACCAUGCACCGAAGCUGCGGCAGCGACACUAUGUGUUGUUGGGUAGGGGAGCGUUCUGUAAGCCUGUGAAGGUGGCCUGUGAGGGUUGCUGGAGGUAUCAGAAGUGCGAAUGCUGACAUAAGUAACGAUAAAGCGGGUGAAAAGCCCGCUCGCCGGAAGACCAAGGGUUCCUGUCCAACGUUAAUCGGGGCAGGGUGAGUCGACCCCUAAGGCGAGGCCGAAAGGCGUAGUCGAUGGGAAACAGGUUAAUAUUCCUGUACUUGGUGUUACUGCGAAGGGGGGACGGAGAAGGCUAUGUUGGCCGGGCGACGGUUGUCCCGGUUUAAGCGUGUAGGCUGGUUUUCCAGGCAAAUCCGGAAAACCAAGGCUGAGGCGUGAUGACGAGGCACUACGGUGCUGAAGCGACAAAUGCCCUGCUUCCAGGAAAAGCCUCUAAGCAUCAGGUAACAUCAAAUCGUACCCCAAACCGACACAGGUGGUCAGGUAGAGAAUACCAAGGCGCUUGAGAGAACUCGGGUGAAGGAACUAGGCAAAAUGGUGCCGUAACUUCGGGAGAAGGCACGCUGAUAUGUAGGUGAAGCGACUUGCUCGUGGAGCUGAAAUCAGUCGAAGAUACCAGCUGGCUGCAACUGUUUAUUAAAAACACAGCACUGUGCAAACACGAAAGUGGACGUAUACGGUGUGACGCCUGCCCGGUGCCGGAAGGUUAAUUGAUGGGGUUAGCGGUAACGCGAAGCUCUUGAUCGAAGCCCCGGUAAACGGCGGCCGUAACUAUAACGGUCCUAAGGUAGCGAAAUUCCUUGUCGGGUAAGUUCCGACCUGCACGAAUGGCGUAAUGAUGGCCAGGCUGUCUCCACCCGAGACUCAGUGAAAUUGAACUCGCUGUGAAGAUGCAGUGUACCCGCGGCAAGACGGAAAGACCCCGUGAACCUUUACUAUAGCUUGACACUGAACAUUGAGCCUUGAUGUGUAGGAUAGGUGGGAGGCUUUGAAGUGUGGACGCCAGUCUGCAUGGAGCCGACCUUGAAAUACCACCCUUUAAUGUUUGAUGUUCUAACGUUGGCCCGUAAUCCGGGUUGCGGACAGUGUCUGGUGGGUAGUUUGACUGGGGCGGUCUCCUCCUAAAGAGUAACGGAGGAGCACGAAGGUUGGCUAAUCCUGGUCGGACAUCAGGAGGUUAGUGCAAUGGCAUAAGCCAGCUUGACUGCGAGCGUGACGGCGCGAGCAGGUGCGAAAGCAGGUCAUAGUGAUCCGGUGGUUCUGAAUGGAAGGGCCAUCGCUCAACGGAUAAAAGGUACUCCGGGGAUAACAGGCUGAUACCGCCCAAGAGUUCAUAUCGACGGCGGUGUUUGGCACCUCGAUGUCGGCUCAUCACAUCCUGGGGCUGAAGUAGGUCCCAAGGGUAUGGCUGUUCGCCAUUUAAAGUGGUACGCGAGCUGGGUUUAGAACGUCGUGAGACAGUUCGGUCCCUAUCUGCCGUGGGCGCUGGAGAACUGAGGGGGGCUGCUCCUAGUACGAGAGGACCGGAGUGGACGCAUCACUGGUGUUCGGGUUGUCAUGCCAAUGGCACUGCCCGGUAGCUAAAUGCGGAAGAGAUAAGUGCUGAAAGCAUCUAAGCACGAAACUUGCCCCGAGAU
RNAcentral lists this ribosomal RNA (2616 nucleotides) under Escherichia coli. RNAcentral's name for it is "partial 23S ribosomal RNA". It matches the Rfam family "Bacterial large subunit ribosomal RNA". The record is from RNAcentral. Lineage: Bacteria; Pseudomonadati; Pseudomonadota; Gammaproteobacteria; Enterobacterales; Enterobacteriaceae.